This 558-nucleotide ribosomal RNA is filed under the name uncultured archaeon. RNAcentral describes it as "bacterial SSU rRNA". It matches the Rfam family "Archaeal small subunit ribosomal RNA", at positions 322 to 882 of the family's 1478-position model. The record is from RNAcentral.
AUUACGGGGUGCAGCAGGCGCGAAACCUCCACAAUGCGCGAAAGCGUGAUGGGGUUAGCCCGAGUGCUGUCCGAAAAGGAUGGCUUUUCCUUGGCGUAAAAACCCAGGGGAAUAAAGGGGGGGCAAGACUGGUGUCAGCCGCCGCGGUAAUACCAGCCCCCUGAGUGGUAAGGACGAUUAUUUGGCUUAAAGCGUCCGUAGCCGGCUUAGUGAGUCUCUUGUUAAAUCCAAUGAUUCAAUCAUUGAACUGCAAGAGAUACUACUAUGCAAGAGGACGGGAGAGGUCGACGGUAGUCCAGGGGUAGGGGUGAAAUCCUAUAAUCCUUGGAGGACCACCAGUGGCGAAGGCGGUCGACUAGAACGUGCCUGACGGUGAGGGACGAAAGCUGGGGGAGCGAACCGGAUUAGAUACCCGGGUAGUCCCAGCUGUAAACGAUGCGGGCUAGGUGUAGGGGCAGCUACGGGCUGCUCCUGUGCCGCAGAGAAAUUGUUAAGCCCGCCGCCUGGGGAGUACGAUCGCAAGAUUGAAGCUUAAAGGAAUUGGCGGGGGAGCACAAU